Molecule: long non-coding RNA, 630 nt
Organism: Alosa sapidissima (American shad)
Lineage: Eukaryota; Metazoa; Chordata; Actinopteri; Clupeiformes; Clupeidae
Exons: 6
Source: RefSeq, a predicted model, not a curated record
UACAUUUCUGUGGAGUUUGAGUUUCUGGAAAGUAUACACUUCUUACUUUGAACCAAUGUGAAAAGUAAUGUACUACUGAGAAACUAGUCUAAAUGGAAUUUCUACAAUGUCCUUCCUACAAUGCUCAUUACUUCACCUUCUGUUCCUUGGAGCAUCAAGUUAUGUGAAGACCACAUCACAAGGUUUUACAAGCAUGAGCCCCAACUCUGCACGGAUGGAAGCAGUCCUCAGAAUGUGUUUAGCAGAAUGGUUCCUUGGGCCUCCUCCCCAUGUCCUCAUGGUUUGGCUGACGUGCUGCACUGAAGACUCUUUCCAGACUCUCUUCCUCCAUAUUAUGCUGAUUAGCCUGUGGCAGCUGUCCCGGCCUGAGAGGUUUGUGAAAAUACACAAGCUGUAGCUGAAGAAUGAUCUGAUCCUGUUGCCGUCUCAGUCUGAUGGAUGAAAUGAAUCUAUACGCUGGAGGGUUGUCCACGGCUUGGUGCAGUUUCCUGCCACCUGCUUCACUCCAGAACGCUGAAGCUCCUGCUACUGAAACAAAGAUGGCGUGGUUCUUCACUUACUGGUUAAGCGGUGUGGUUUUUGUACUGUGAUUGUCGUCUUGUCUGUGAAAUAAAACGUGACUUCAACCUU